GACGAACGCUGGCGGCGUGCCUAAUACAUGCAAGUCGAACGAGAGCGACCGGUGCUUGCACUGGUCAAUCUAGUGGCGAACGGGUGAGUAACACGUGGGUAACCUGCCCAUCAGAGGGGGAUAACAUCCGGAAACGGAUGCUAAAACCGCAUAGGUCUUCGAACCGCAUGGUUUGAAGAGGAAAAGAGGCGCAAGCUUCUGCUGAUGGACGGACCCGCGGUGCAUUAGCUAGUUGGUGAGGUAACGGCUCACCAAGGCCGUGAUGCAUAGCCGACCUGAGAGGGUGAUCGGCCACAUUGGGACUGAGACACGGCCCAAACUCCUACGGGAGGCAGCAGUAGGGAAUCUUCCGCAAUGGACGCAAGUCUGACGGAGCAACGCCGCGUGAGUGAAGAAGGUGUUCGGAUCGUAAAACUCUGUUGUUAGAGAAGAACAAGUGCUAGAGUAACUGUUAGCGCCUUGACGGUAUCUAACCAGAAAGCCACGGCUAACUACGUG
This 498-nucleotide ribosomal RNA is filed under the name uncultured bacterium. RNAcentral's name for it is "partial 16S ribosomal RNA". It matches the Rfam family "Bacterial small subunit ribosomal RNA", at positions 28 to 507 of the family's 1533-position model. The record is from RNAcentral.